GAGACACCCCUGUGGAGCAGGACUUGCUUCAGUGGUGCUUUGGUGCUCACUGAGUCUUCCCCUUGAGUGUGUUGCU
RNAcentral lists this microRNA precursor (76 nucleotides) under Myotis lucifugus (little brown bat). RNAcentral describes it as "mir-9229 microRNA precursor family". It matches the Rfam family "mir-9229 microRNA precursor family". Lineage: Eukaryota; Metazoa; Chordata; Mammalia; Chiroptera; Vespertilionidae. The record is from Rfam by way of RNAcentral.